This 254-nucleotide ribosomal RNA is filed under the name uncultured bacterium. RNAcentral's name for it is "partial small subunit ribosomal RNA". It matches the Rfam family "Bacterial small subunit ribosomal RNA", at positions 26 to 285 of the family's 1533-position model. The record is from RNAcentral.
AGGACGAACGCUGGCGGCGUGCUUAACACAUGCAAGUCGAGCGGAAAGGCCCUUCGGGGUACUCGAGCGGCGAACGGGUGAGUAACACGUGAGUAAUCUGCCCCUAGCUCUGGGAUAGCUCCGGGAAACCGGGAUUAAUACCAGAUACGACCACUUUAGACAUCUUCUGUGGUGGAAAGAACUUCGGCUGGGGAUGGACUCGCGGCCUAUCAGCUUGUUGGUGGGGUAAUGGCCUACCAAGGCGACGACGGGUA